Molecule: ribosomal RNA, 424 nt
Filed under: uncultured bacterium
Lineage: Bacteria
Description: bacterial SSU rRNA
Rfam family: Bacterial small subunit ribosomal RNA
Source: RNAcentral
GGAAUUUUGGACAAUGGGCGCAAGCCUGAUCCAGCCAUGCCGCGUGAGUGAAGAAGGCCUUCGGGUUGUAAAGCUCUUUCGGCUGGGAAGAAAUCGCACUCUCUAAUACGGGGUGUGGAUGACGGUACCAGCAUAAGAAGCACCGGCUAACUACGUGCCAGCAGCCGCGGUAAUACGUAGGGUGCGAGCGUUAUUCGGAAUUACUGGGCGUAAAGCGUGCGCAGGCGGUUGUGUAAGACAGACGUGAAAUCCCCGGGCUCCACCUGGGAACUGCGGUUGUGACUGCACGGCUAGAGUACGGCAGAGGGGGGUGGAAUUCCACGUGUAGCAGUGAAAUGCGUAGAGAUGUGGAGGAACACCGAUGGCGAAGGCAGCCCCCUGGGCCAGUACUGACGCUCAGGUGCGAAAGCGUGGGGAGCAAACA